AGUGGCGAACGGGUGAGUAACACGUGAGUAACCUGCCCUUGACUCUGGGAUAAGCGCUAGAAAUGGCGUCUAAUACCGGAUACGAGCUUCAGCCGCAUGGCUAGGAGUUGGAAAGAAUUUUGGUCAAGGAUGGACUCGCGGCCUAUCAGCUAGUUGGUGAGGUAAUGGCUCACCAAGGCGACGACGGGUAGCCGGCCUGAGAGGGUGACCGGCCACACUGGGACUGAGACACGGCCCAGACUCCUACGGGAGGCAGCAGUGGGGAAUAUUGCACAAUGGGCGAAAGCCUGAUGCAGCAACGCCGCGUGAGGGAUGACGGCCUUCGGGUUGUAAACCUCUUUUAGUAGGGAAGAAGCGAAAGUGACGGUACCUGCAGAAAAAGCACCGGCUAACUACGUGCCAGCAGCCGCGGUAAUACGUAGGGUGCAAGCGUUGUCCGGAAUUAUUGGGCGUAAAGAGCUCGUAGGCGGUUUGUCGCGUCUGCUGUGAAAUCUGGGGGCUCAACCCCCAGCCUGCAGUGGGUACGGGCAGACUAGAGUGCGGUAGGGGAGAUUGGAAUUCCUGGUGUAGCGGUGGAAUGCGCAGAUAUCAGGAGGAACACCGAUGGCGAAGGCAGAUCUCUGGGCCGUAACUGACGCUGAGGAGCGAAAGCAUGGGGAGCGAACAGGAUUAGAUACCCUGGUAGUCCAUGCCGUAAACGUUGGGAACUAGAUGUGGGGGCCAUUCCACGGUCUCCGUGUCGCAGCUAACGCAUUAAGUUCCCCGCCUGGGGAGUACGGCCGCAAGGCUAAAACUCAAAGGAAUUGACGGGGGCCCGCACAAGCGGCGGAGCAUGCGGAUUAAUUCGAUGCAACGCGAAGAACCUUACCAAGGCUUGACAUAUACCGGAAACGUCCAGAGAUGGUCGCCCCGCAAGGUCGGUAUACAGGUGGUGCAUGGUUGUCGUCAGCUCGUGUCGUGAGAUGUUGGGUUAAGUCCCGCAACGAGCGCAACCCUCGUUCUAUGUUGCCAGCACGUUAUGGUGGGAACUCAUAGGAGACUGCCGGGGUCAACUCGGAGGAAGGUGGGGAUGACGUCAAAUCAUCAUGCCCCUUAUGUCUUGGGCUUCACGCAUGCUACAAUGGCCGGUACAAAGGGCUGCGAUACCGUAAGGUGGAGCGAAUCCCAAAAAGCCGGUCUCAGUUCGGAUUGAGGUCUGCAACUCGACCUCAUGAAGUCGGAGUCGCUAGUAAUCGCAGAUCAGCAAC
This 1247-nucleotide ribosomal RNA is filed under the name Frigoribacterium sp. RNAcentral's name for it is "bacterial SSU rRNA". It matches the Rfam family "Bacterial small subunit ribosomal RNA", at positions 94 to 1356 of the family's 1533-position model. The record is from RNAcentral. Lineage: Bacteria; Bacillati; Actinomycetota; Actinomycetes; Micrococcales; Microbacteriaceae.